AUGGAUCUUCUCCCAUUCCACUUUCUUGAGAGGAUGCAAAGUCAUAAAAUUCAAAUGUACAACUGUUAUCUGUGGCCUGUGUGUGCUGAAAUGUCUGUUGAGACUUCUGAAUAUCUGCGACAGAGGAAGUACUUCCACUAAUCAUGCUGAGAGACUUCGCUUGCAUGGCUCCUGGAGUAUCCAAACAUUCAGCAACGUGCCAGCGAGGCGUCUGGACCAAAAGCAAAGAGAAAGGCAUCUGGCAACUGGGGCAGUAUCCAUCGUGCACGGGCUUCCCAUUUUGUGAGCUCUGUCCUGUCAGACUACUUACGCUCUCCUGGGAGUGCACGCUACUGUCAGCUUUGCACUGAUCUGCAUCCUGAUCUGGCCUUGGUUUCUGCUCAGUUUUCUGAAGCCCAUCAGUUUUUUCUACAGAUUUUCUUUUCUUUCUGUUUCUCUGUUUUUUUGCCCUGCUCUUGCCGUCACUUACUUUCUGCACAGGUGUAGGGAUGCUCUCGGAACUAUUCUGAUGCUUCUGCUUCCUGAUGGAUUUGUACUCCCAAAUGUCCUCCUCCAGUAAAACAUCUUCAGACAUGGUAACACGCGAAAUAGUCUUUGUUUUAAGCAACAGUUCACAAAUGUAACUUUUCUUCCACUAAAAGGUUUUCUCUUCCCUGCUCCCUUCACUAUCUGAAGAGAAGUGCUUGAAUUCCAUUUUAAAGGAGUAACACCGGGCUGCACACCAAACAGCAGUCCGUGAUGGGACAGAAGCAUGGUGGAUCCUACCCUAA
Long non-coding RNA from Pogoniulus pusillus (Red-fronted tinkerbird), 770 nucleotides. RefSeq lists it as uncharacterized. The record is from RefSeq and is a predicted model, not a curated record. The transcript has 2 exons. Lineage: Eukaryota; Metazoa; Chordata; Aves; Piciformes; Lybiidae.